GACGAACGCUGGCGGCGUGCUUAACACAUGCAAGUCGAACGGAAAGGCCCUGCUUUUGUGGGGUGCUCGAGUGGCGAACGGGUGAGUAACACGUGAGUAACCUGCCCUUGACUUUGGGAUAACUUCAGGAAACUGGGGCUAAUACCGGAUAGGAGCUCCUGCUGAAUGGUGGGGGUUGGAAAGUUUCGGCGGUUGGGGAUGGACUCGCGGCUUAUCAGCUUGCGGGUGGGGUAGUGGCUUACCAAGGCUUUGCCGGGUAGCCGGCCUGAGAGGGUGGCCGGCCCCACUGGGUCUGAGAUACGACCCAGACUCCUCCGGGAGGCAGCAGUGGGGAAUAUUGCACAAUAGGCUGAAGCCUGAUGCAGCGACGCCGCGUGCGGGAUGACGGCCUUCGGGUUGUAAACCGCUUUCGCCUGUGACGAAGCGUGAGUGACGGUAAUUGGUAAAGAAGCACCGGCUAACUACGUG
This 468-nucleotide ribosomal RNA is filed under the name uncultured bacterium. RNAcentral describes it as "partial 16S ribosomal RNA". It matches the Rfam family "Bacterial small subunit ribosomal RNA", at positions 28 to 507 of the family's 1533-position model. The record is from RNAcentral.